AAUGAACGUUGGCGGCGUGGAUUAGGCAUGCAAGUCGAGCGAGAACCCCGCAAGGGGGGACAGCGGCGAAAGGGACAGUAAUGUGUAGAUUAUCUGCCCUCAGGUCCGGGAUAGCUGCGGGAAACUGCAGGUAAUACCGGAUAACAUCUCCGGAUCAAAGGUGUGAUUCCGCCUGAGGAUGAGUCUGCAUCCUAUUAGCUAGUUGGCGGGGUAAUGGCCUACCAAGGCAUUGAUGGGUAGCAGGUGUGAGAGCACGACCUGCGUCAUUGGGACUGAGACACUGCCCAGACACCUACGGGUGGCUGCAGUCGAGAAUCUUCGGCAAUGUGCGCAAGCCUGACCGAGCGACGCCGCGUGUGGGAUGAAGGCCUUCGGGUUGUAAACCACUGUCAGAGGGGAUGAAAUGCAGGUGGGUUCUCCCAUCUGUUUGACAUAGCCUCAGAGGAAGGACGGGCUAAGCUCGUG
Molecule: ribosomal RNA, 465 nt
Filed under: uncultured bacterium
Lineage: Bacteria
Description: partial 16S ribosomal RNA
Rfam family: Bacterial small subunit ribosomal RNA
Source: RNAcentral